AGACAAAUUUCGUGCACCAUCCUAUUUUGAGCAUAUUACUUUCGAUUUGUCCUAUCUUUGUUCAUUCGUCUUUUGUAUUGGAAAUGUGUUUUCUUGUUCAGUGUAUAUCUUCAUCAUUUCGAUAGUAGCCAAUGGUAGCUGGUAGCCAUUUGCAAUAAAUAAAAAAUCUAAGAUAUUGCUAUAUUGGUCAUGUUGCUUCUAGGGUGACGAAAUUUAGUUCAAUCCUGUGAUCAUUCGCCAUUUAGUGGUCAGUGUCUUAAUUCGCAGUUUGAACAACAAGAAAGUGAAAGAAGUCUUCCUAAUUUGAAUGAAAAUAAAAAGCGACGUCGAAAUACAAAAGAAAAAGCAAACUUUUGGUCUACGUGAAAACGGUGAACACAACAUCUUAGAAAGCAACCUGUUGUCAAUACAAACGCAUUUUCCAUAAUCGCCGGUGCUUUUAUUGAAAAAGUAUUGUCGUAAAAGUUAACAUGUGUUUCUCCCCCAAUUAUAUUAAUGCUGUUCUGUUGACGUUUGUAAUCCAUCUUGUAAUGCUAUGGACAUCGCUUGAAGGUUUAUCUCUUGAUGAUAGUGCACAAGUUAGUUGUGAUGAGAAAUCAACUUUGCCUGGGAAUAGUCUUCUGGUUACUCAUGCAACGCCAUCAGCCGCAAAUGGAAGUGUAUCAAUAAAAUCUGUAUUCAAUGAUACUCUCCUAUCUGUUAGUUUUCUAUCAUGGAAAUACAAAGUGCAAGGUGUUUCUAUUAUAAAGACAAUGAGGACAGGAACUAGCUCGAACCUUCAAUGGCACUUUGCAAAAAUUGGUCUUCACAAGGUUGCAGUUGCAGUGAAGUUUCAUAAACAUUCUAAUCAUGAGGAAUAUGAGAUGUCGAAUUGCACUUAUGUAAAUGUCACUGAUUGUCUUUUGAUGCCCAUUGUGCAAGUAUCUACUUUGAAUGGAGUGUCAAAUGUUUCUGAAAAUGACACUAAAGUAUCUUUUGAUGCACCGGGCUUUGCUAACCUCACAGUCUUGAUGAGAACUACUGAUCCUUAUUUCGCUUGUAAACGGCUUGCAUAUUUGUGGAACUUUAAUGAUGGCAGUCACUUUUCUGGAAUGCACGCACCCAAUACUACAAUACGCCUGGUUAUUUUUCUGUUAAUUUGAAUGUAUACAAAGUCUUCGAAUCUGAAAAGAAUCGUCAGUUGGUUACAGAUUUCUCAUUGACAUUACAUGUGAAAGAGGCAGAAAAGAAGCCAAGUGGCAGUGAUACAGCUAUUGACAUCACUUUGGUGCUGUCUAUAUUUAUUGUUUGUUUUGUGUUUGUCAUUUGUGUUUCUGUCUACUGGUUUCGCCAGCGUUAUCAUCGACAUACGGAAGUGGCUGCAUUUGAUUUUCGGCCUUUCGAACUUCAGAGUUCUGUUAACGGUGAUCACUGCCACAGUUACAGCAAUUAUAGAAGCAGAAUUCGAAGCUUAGUAAGUUGUCGAAGCGCAAACAAAGAACAAUUGUUGGACAAUGACUUUUAUCGUUACAGUUAUGGUGCUUGUUCUGGAUAGUUUAAUGUUAAUUGUUUGAAUAUGUUUGUAUUAUUUGUGCAUUGAGUUGAUGUGAAGAAAUAAGUGAGGUAUUUUAGUAUGAAAGAAAUUUUGAACCUCGUCAAAUAAAUUAUCAGUGUGAUUAGCAAACUUA
Long non-coding RNA from Xenia sp. Carnegie-2017, 1667 nucleotides. RefSeq lists it as uncharacterized. The record is from RefSeq and is a predicted model, not a curated record. The transcript is spliced from 3 exons. NCBI's taxonomy places the organism in Eukaryota, Metazoa, Cnidaria, Anthozoa, Malacalcyonacea, Xeniidae.